CUCCCUCUUCUGAAAUGUCGAGUUCGCAAUCAGAAGCUCGGCCGCCCUAGCGAAAUCAAGCAGUGAAGUGCCUCCUCCGUUCCUAAGCUGAAGCCACCAUGCACCUCACCAUAACCCCCAGCAUCAGCCCCAAUAUGACCAUUAAAGCCCCCCCAAUAACUAACUUCUCAGAUUGGGGAAUACUACUCACCAAAUCAUCCAAGUCCUCCCAAAAUCGCCUCUUAGCCUCCUCGUCUAAGCCCGCUUGCAGCG
RNAcentral lists this long non-coding RNA (252 nucleotides) under Nicotiana benthamiana. RNAcentral's name for it is "long non-coding RNA (NBEN_LNC001732)". The record is from RNAcentral. Lineage: Eukaryota; Viridiplantae; Streptophyta; Magnoliopsida; Solanales; Solanaceae.